This 2953-nucleotide ribosomal RNA is filed under the name Clostridioides difficile CD196. RNAcentral describes it as "bacterial LSU rRNA". It matches the Rfam family "Bacterial large subunit ribosomal RNA". The record is from RNAcentral. Lineage: Bacteria; Bacillati; Bacillota; Clostridia; Peptostreptococcales; Peptostreptococcaceae.
GGUCAAGUUAUUAAGGGUGCAGGGCGGAUGCCUUGGCACUAGGAGCCGAUGAAGGACGUGAUAAGCUGCGAUAAGCUUCGGGGAGUUGCACGUAAACUUUGAUCCGAAGAUUUCCGAAUGAGGAAACUCACUUAGAGUAAUGUCUAAGUAUCAUUAAGUGAAUACAUAGCUUAAUGAGGGGAACUCAGGGAACUGAAACAUCUAAGUACCUGAAGGAAGAGAAAGAAAUUCGAUUCCGUAAGUAGCGGCGAGCGAACGCGGAUUAGCCCAAACCAAUAAAGUUUUCUUUAUUGGGGUUGCGGACAUAUCAUAACGAAGAGGUAUCGUAAUUGAAGAGGUUUGGAAAGACCCACCACAGAAGGUAAUAGUCCUGUAUGUUAAACGAGAAGACUUCAGAUAUGAUCCAGAGUACCACGGGACACGUGAAACCCUGUGGGAAGCAGGAGGGACCACCCUCCAAGGCUAAAUACUACCUAGUGACCGAUAGCGUAUAGUACCGUGAGGGAAAGGUGAAAAGAACCCCGGGAGGGGAGUGAAAUAGAACCUGAAACCCUGCACUUACAAGCUGUGGAAGCACAUUUCUUGUGUGACCGCGUACUUUUUGUAGAACGGGCCAACGAGUUACGUUAAGUAGCAAGGUUAAGCACUUAAGGUGCGGAGCCGUAGCGAAAGCGAGUUUUAACUGAGCGUUCAGUUACUUGACGUAGACCCGAAACCGGGCGACCUACCCAUGAGCAGGAUGAAGCGAAAGUAAAAUUUCGUGGAGGUCCGAACCCACGAGCGUUGAAAAGCUCGGGGAUGACUUGUGGGUAGCGGUGAAAUUCCAAUCGAGCCCGGAGAUAGCUGGUUCUCCCCGAAAUAGCUUUAGGGCUAGCCUCAAGGUGAGAGAUACGGAGGUAGAGCACUGAAUGUCCUAGGGGGUAUUGCACCUACCGAAGACUAUCAAACUCCGAAUGCCGUCAUCUUAUACUUGGGAGUCAGACUGUGGGUGAUAAGAUUCAUAGUCGAAAGGGCAACAGCCCAGAUCGUCAGCUAAGGUCCCUAAAUGUAAGUUAAGUGGUAAAGGAUGUGGGAUUGCACAGACAACCAGGAUGUUGGCUUAGAAGCAGCCACUCAUUCAAAGAGUGCGUAAUAGCUCACUGGUCGAGUGAUCCUGCGCCGAAGAUUUCCGGGGCUAAAACUUACUACCGAAGCUACGGCAUCAGUAAUGAUGGGUAGGGGAGCUUCCCAUACGGGUUGAAGCAUGACCGUAAGGACAUGUGGACAGUAUGGGAGUGAGAAUGUUGGCAUGAGUAGCGAGAUGUGGGUGAGAAUCCCACAGGCCGUAAACCCAAGGUUUCCAGGGGAAGGUUCGUCCGCCCUGGGUUAGUCGGGACCUAAGCUGAGGCCGAAAGGCGUAGGUGAUGGACAACAGGUUGAUAUUCCUGUACUACCGAUAACCGUUUGAGAGAAGGGAUGACACAGUAGGAUAAGCUAAGCACACUGUUGGUUAUGUGUGCCCAAGCAUUGAGGCAGUCAAAGUAGGCAAAUCCGCUUUGAUAAUGCUGGGAUGUGAUGGGGAGCGAAAUUUAGUAGCGAAGUAGCUGAUUUCACACUGUCAAGAAAAGUCUCUAUCGAGGUUAAAGGUACCCGUACCGCAAACCGACACAGGUGGGUGAGGAGAGUAUCCUAAGGCCAGCGAGAGAACUGUUGUUAAGGAACUCGGCAAAAUGACCCCGUAACUUAGGGAUAAGGGGUGCCACCAUCAGGUGGCCGCAGAGAAUAGGCCCAAGCGACUGUUUACCAAAAACAUAGGUUUCUGCUAAGUCGCAAGACGAUGUAUAGGAGCUGACGCCUGCCCGGUGCUGGAAGGUUAAGGGGAUCUGUUAGAGCAAUCGAAGCAGUGAACUUAAGCCCCAGUAAACGGCGGCCGUAACUAUAACGGUCCUAAGGUAGCGAAAUUCCUUGUCGGGUAAGUUCCGACCCGCACGAAAGGCGUAACGAUUUGGGCACUGUCUCAACAACAGACUCGGUGAAAUUGUAAUUCCGGUGAAGAUGCCGGAUACCUGCGACAGGACGGAAAGACCCCAUGGAGCUUUACUGUAGCUUGACAUUGGGUCUUGGUACUACAUGUACAGGAUAGGUGGGAGGCUUUGAAACCAGGACGCCAGUUUUGGCGGAGCCAUCCUUGGGAUACCACCCUUGUAGUACUGGGACUCUAACCAUAGGCCAUGAAUCUGGUCUUGGGACACUGUCAGGUGGGCAGUUUGACUGGGGCGGUCGCCUCCCAAAAGGUAACGGAGGCGCUCAAAGGUUCUCUCAGUACGGUCGGAAAUCGUACGUAGAGUGUAAAGGCAAAAGAGAGCUUGAUUGCAAGACAUACAGGUCGAGCAAGGAUGAAAAUCGGACUUAGUGAUCCGGUGGUUCUGCGUGGAAGGGCCAUCGCUCAACGGAUAAAAGCUACCCUGGGGAUAACAGGCUUAUCUCCCCCAAGAGUCCACAUCGACGGGGAGGUUUGGCACCUCGAUGUCGGCUCAUCACAUCCUGGGGCUGUAGUAGGUCCCAAGGGUUGGGCUGUUCGCCCAUUAAAGUGGUACGCGAGCUGGGUUCAGAACGUCGUGAGACAGUUCGGUCCCUAUCCGUCGCAGGCGUAGGAAAUUUGAGAAGACCUGUCCUUAGUACGAGAGGACCGGGAUGGACGUACCUCUGGUGUACCAGUUGUCCUGCCAAGGGCAUGGCUGGGUAGCUAUGUACGGAAUGGAUAAGCGCUGAAAGCAUCUAAGCGCGAAGCCAACUUCAAGAUAAGAUUUCCCACCGCAAGGGUAAGACCCCAGAAAGACUAUCUGGUUGAUAGGUCGAAGGUGUAAGUGCAGCAAUGUAUUUAGCUUAUCGAUACUAAUAGGUCGAGGACUUGACCAAUAUUUAUUUGAUGUUCAUUGAUUAAGAUAUAUGUGUAGUUUUUAGAGUGCUAACU